GACGAACGCUGGCGGCGUGCUUAACACAUGCAAGUCGAACGGAAAGGCCCUGCUUUUGUGGGGUGCUCGAGUGGCGAACGGGUGAGUAACACGUGAGUAACCUUCCCUUGACUUUGGGAUAACUUCAGGAAACUGGGGCUAAUACCGGAUAGGAGCUCCUGAUGCAUGGUGGGGGUUGGAAAGUUUCGGCGGUUGGGGAUGGAGUCGCGGCUUAUCCGCUUGUUGGUGGGGUAGUGGCUUACCAAGGCUUUGACGGGUAGCCGGCACUAGAGGAUAACUGGGCAACAUGUUGUUGAGGGUCGAGCCAGACUCGUAGGGGAGGUAGAAGUGGGGAAAUUAGCACAAGAGGCGGAAGCCGGAUGCAGCAACGUAGGGAAGGGGAUAUGGGCCUUGUGAUUGUAAACCGCGUACGUCUGUAACGAAGUGUGAGUGACAGUAAGGUGUAAAGAAGCACCGGCGAACUAGGUG
RNAcentral lists this ribosomal RNA (468 nucleotides) under uncultured bacterium. Its description in RNAcentral is "partial 16S ribosomal RNA". It matches the Rfam family "Bacterial small subunit ribosomal RNA", at positions 28 to 507 of the family's 1533-position model. The record is from RNAcentral.